UACAUUCACCGAUUCUGCUCUCUUCUGCAGGUUAAUACAGCAUCACUACAUUCACCGAUUCUGCAGGUUAAUACAGCAUCACUACAGUCACCGAUUCUGCUCUCUUCUGCAGGUUAAUACAGCAUCACUACAUUCACCGAUUCUGCUCUCUUCUGCAGGUUAAUACAGCAUCACUACAUUCACCGAUUCUGCUCUCUUCUGCAGGUUAAUACAGCAUCACUACAUUCACCGAUUCUGCUCUCUUCUGCAGGUUAAUACAGCAUCACUACAUUCACCGAUUCUGCUCUCUUCUGCAGGUUAAUACAGCAUCACUACAUUCACCGAUUCUGCUCCCUUCUGCAGGUUAAUACAGCAUCACUACAUUAACCGAUUCUGCUCUCUUCUGCAGGUUAAUACAGCAUCACUACAUUCAC
This is a long non-coding RNA of Oncorhynchus keta (chum salmon), 413 nucleotides long. RefSeq lists it as uncharacterized. NCBI's taxonomy places the organism in Eukaryota, Metazoa, Chordata, Actinopteri, Salmoniformes, Salmonidae. The record is from RefSeq and is a predicted model, not a curated record. The transcript is spliced from 3 exons.